Molecule: ribosomal RNA, 630 nt
Filed under: Desulfotomaculum sp. ADR22
Lineage: Bacteria; Bacillati; Bacillota; Clostridia; Eubacteriales; Desulfotomaculaceae
Description: bacterial SSU rRNA
Rfam family: Bacterial small subunit ribosomal RNA
Source: RNAcentral
UCGAGCGACAGACGAGGAGCUUGCUCCUCUGACGUUAGCGGCGGACGGGUGAGUAACACGUGGAUAACCUACCUAUAAGACUGGGAUAACUUCGGGAAACCGGAGCUAAUACCGGAUAAUAUAUUGAACCGCAUGGUUCAAUAGUGAAAGACGGUUUUGCUGUCACUUAUAGAUGGAUCCGCGCCGCAUUAGCUAGUUGGUAAGGUAACGGCUUACCAAGGCAACGAUGCGUAGCCGACCUGAGAGGGUGAUCGGCCACACUGGAACUGAGACACGGUCCAGACUCCUACGGGAGGCAGCAGUAGGGAAUCUUCCGCAAUGGGCGAAAGCCUGACGGAGCAACGCCGCGUGAGUGAUGAAGGUCUUCGGAUCGUAAAACUCUGUUAUUAGGGAAGAACAAAUGUGUAAGUAACUAUGCACGUCUUGACNGUACCUAAUCAGAAAGCCACGGCUAACUACGUGCCAGCAGCCGCGGUAAUACGUAGGUGGCAAGCGUUAUCCGGAAUUAUUGGGCGUAAAGCGCGCGUAGGCGGUUUUUUAAGUCUGAUGUGAAAGCCCACGGCUCACCGUGGAGGGUCAUUGGAAACUGGAAACUUGAGUGCAGANGAGGAAAGUGGAAUUCAUGUGUAG